AACGCACGAGACCUGCGGACCUGCGGAAGGAUCAUUAAUGAGAAGCUGCCCCUCGUGGGUAGACCUCCCACCCUCUGUGAACUUACCUUUGUUGCUUUGGCAGGCCCGUCCUCUGGACCGCCGGCUUCGGCUGGCCCGUGCCUGCCAGAGGAUUCCAAACCCAGUCUGUCAGUGUUGUCUGAGUCUAUAUGAAAUCGUUAAAACUUUUAACAAUGGAUCUCUAGAUCGGAAGAGCACACG
RNAcentral lists this unclassified non-coding RNA (240 nucleotides) under soil metagenome. RNAcentral describes it as "partial contains 5.8S ribosomal RNA, internal transcribed spacer 2, and large subunit ribosomal RNA". The record is from RNAcentral.